RNAcentral lists this ribosomal RNA (481 nucleotides) under uncultured Desulfobulbus sp. RNAcentral describes it as "bacterial SSU rRNA". It matches the Rfam family "Bacterial small subunit ribosomal RNA", at positions 906 to 1382 of the family's 1533-position model. The record is from RNAcentral. Lineage: Bacteria; Pseudomonadati; Thermodesulfobacteriota; Desulfobulbia; Desulfobulbales; Desulfobulbaceae.
GGAAUUGACGGGGCCCGCACAAGCGGUGGAGUAUGUGGUUUAAUUCGAUGCAACGCGAAGAACCUUACCUGGUCUUGACAUCCCGGAGACCCUUAGGAAACUAGGGGGUGCUUCCAUCUGGAAGAAUCUGGAGACAGGUGCUGCAUGGCUGUCGUCAGCUCGUGUCGUGAGAUGUUGGGUUAAGUCCCGCAACGAGCGCAACCCUUGCCUUUAGUUGCCAGCAGUUCGGCUGGGCACUCUAAAGGGACUGCCGGUGUUAAACCGGAGGAAGGUGGGGAUGACGUCAAGUCCUCAUGGCCUUUAUGACCAGGGCUACACACGUACUACAAUGGCCGAUACAAAGGGCAGCGACACUGCGAGGUGAAGCCAAUCCCGUAAAAUCGGUCUCAGUCCGGAUUGGAGUCUGCAACUCGACUCCAUGAAGUUGGAAUCGCUAGUAAUCGUGGAUCAGCAUGCCACGGUGAAUACGUUCCCGGGCCUU